AAGGAAUAUUGGGCAAUGGAGGCAACUCUGACCCAGCCAUGCCGCGUGCAGGAUGAAGGUCCUCUGGAUUGUAAACUGCUUUUAUUGGUGAAUAAACCUAGGGAUUCAUCCCUAGCUGAAGGUAGCCAAGGAAUAAGCACCGGCUAACUCCGUGCCAGCAGCCGCGGUAAUACGGAGGGUGCAAGCGUUAUCCGGAUUUACUGGGUUUAAAGGGAGCGUAGGCGGAUCUUUAAGUGAGUGGUGAAAUCCUAGAGCUUAACUCUAGAACUGCCAUUCAUACUAUUGAUCUUGAAUUCGGUUGAGGUAGCUGGAAUGUGUCAUGUAGCGGUGAAAUGCUUAGAUAUGACACAGAACACCAAUUGCGAAGGCAGGUUGCUAAACCGACAUUGACGCUGAGGCUCGAAAGCGUGGGGAUCAAAC
This 420-nucleotide ribosomal RNA is filed under the name uncultured bacterium. RNAcentral's name for it is "bacterial SSU rRNA". It matches the Rfam family "Bacterial small subunit ribosomal RNA", at positions 356 to 773 of the family's 1533-position model. The record is from RNAcentral.